Molecule: long non-coding RNA, 1192 nt
Filed under: Prunus persica (peach)
Lineage: Eukaryota; Viridiplantae; Streptophyta; Magnoliopsida; Rosales; Rosaceae
Description: long non-coding RNA (PPER_LNC003956)
Source: RNAcentral
UCAUGUGAUGCUUCCCUGCUGCUGGACUCAACCAGGAGGUCCUUGUCUGAGAAGGAGAUGGACAGGAGCUUUGGGAUGAGAAACUUUAGGUACAUUGAAGAAAUUAAAGAAGCACUGGAGAGGGAGUGCCCUGGAGUUGUUUCUUGUUCAGAUAUUCUUGUUUUGUCUGCUAGGGAGGGUGUUGUUCGGGUACUUUCCUCCUUGACCUCUCUUUUUCUUUGACUUGACUCUCUUUCUUCUGUAAAACAGAGAUCUCAAGUUGGUACAAUUUGGUUUUGAUCUUUAUUUAGUAAAAUUUGACAAGAACUCAAGUUUUAUUAUUCCCUUUUCAGCUAAAAGAUAACGAGGAUUUUCACAGAUUUUUGUCCAACAAAUACCACUAAAGCUGUUGUUACCUUUUUUUUCUUGUGGUUUUUGGUACAUUUUUCAUAUUCUGUUGGUCUGUAAAACAGAGAUCUGAACUAUUUGUACAGAUUUUUAUCUAUUUCUGGGACCCCAAGGCUGUUUCCUUUUAAUUGUGGAUUUGGUAGAUUUGUCAAGUACAAUUCUCUUAAUUAUUUUCGACUUUAUUACUGUGUUCUCAGCUAGGAGGCCCAUUCAUCCCUCUCAAAACUGGAAGAAGAGAUGGAAGGAGGAGCAGAGCAGAGAUCCUUGAGCAAUACCUUCCUGACCACAAUGAGAGCAUGUCCACUGUCCUUGAGAAGUUUGCUGACAUGGGCAUUGACACCCCUGGUCUGGUUGCCCUGCUAGGUAUAUAUGCACAUCACCAUCCAUCGAUCCAUCCAUACAUACAUACAUACAUACAUAGUUUUAAAGUUCUUAAACAUCAUUAGCAUGAUUAGCAUGCAUGUUACUUCACUGAUUAUGGUCUAAUUGUAAUUAACAGGAGCUCACAGUGUUGGUAGAACACACUGUGUGAAGCUGGUGCACCGUUUAUACCCAGAAGUUGACCCUCAGCUCAACCCUGACCAUGUUGGUCACAUGCUCAAGAAGUGCCCUGAUGCAAUCCCUGACCCCAAAGCGGUUCAAUAUGUGAGAAAUGACCGCGGUACCCCCAUGAUAUUUGACAACAACUACUACAGGAACAUUUUGGACAACAAGGGUUUGAUGAUGGUGGAUCACCAACUAGCCACAGACAAGAGGACAAAACCCUAUGUCAAGAAAAUGGCCAAGAGCCAAGACUACUUCUUUA